Molecule: small nuclear RNA, 82 nt
Filed under: Chelonoidis abingdonii (Abingdon island giant tortoise)
Lineage: Eukaryota; Metazoa; Chordata; Testudines; Testudinidae
Description: U5 spliceosomal RNA (ENSCABG00000009574.1)
Rfam family: U5 spliceosomal RNA
About the family: U5 RNA is a component of both types of known spliceosome. The precise function of this molecule is unknown, though it is known that the 5' loop is required for splice site selection and p220 binding, and that both the 3' stem-loop and the Sm site are important for Sm protein binding and cap methylation.
Source: RNAcentral
AUACUCUGCUUUCUCUUCAGUUCGUAUAAAUCUUUCACCUUUUACUAAAGAUUUCCGUGGAGAGGAACAUUUAUUGAGUGAC